This 492-nucleotide ribosomal RNA is filed under the name uncultured bacterium. RNAcentral's name for it is "partial 16S ribosomal RNA". It matches the Rfam family "Bacterial small subunit ribosomal RNA", at positions 29 to 507 of the family's 1533-position model. The record is from RNAcentral.
AUUGAACGCUGGCGGCAUGCUUUACACAUGCAAGUCGAGCGGUAACAGGCCUUCGGGUGCUGACGAGUGGCGAACGGGUGCGUAAUGCAUCGGAACGUACCCAGAGGUGGGGGAUAACGCAGCGAAAGCUGUGCUAAUACCGCAUGUGAUCUGAGGAUGAAAGCGGGGGACCGAGCAGCAAUGUUUGGCCUCGCGCCUUUGGAGCGGCCGAUGUCGGAUUAGCUAGUUGGUGGGGUAAAGGCCUACCAAGGCGACGAUCCGUAGCUGGUCUGAGAGGACGACCAGCCACACUGGGACUGAGACACGGCCCAGACUCCUACGGGAGGCGGCAGUGGGGAAUUUUGGACAAUGGGCGCAAGCCUGAUCCAGCAAUGCCGCGUGCGGGAAGAAGGCCUUCGGGUUGUAAACCGCUUUUGGCAGGAACGAAACGGUGUCCGCUAAUACCGGGCGCUAAUGACGGUACCUGCAGAAUAAGCACCGGCUAACUACGUG